RNAcentral lists this non-coding RNA (65 nucleotides) under Provencibacterium sp. The record is from RNAcentral. Lineage: Bacteria; Bacillati; Bacillota; Clostridia; Eubacteriales; Oscillospiraceae.
AGCCGAAACGCCUGUAUAGGCGUCCACCGGAACUGCCCCACCGGUGCUGAUGAUGGCAGGGCAGA